Molecule: non-coding RNA, 418 nt
Organism: Lonchura striata (white-rumped munia)
Lineage: Eukaryota; Metazoa; Chordata; Aves; Passeriformes; Estrildidae
Source: RefSeq, a predicted model, not a curated record
CGAAGGCUCCGGGGUGCGGCGUUUCCCUGUGGAGGGACGCCCCUGGCCCGGGCUGGCCGCACCGACCCCGGAGCAGGGCCCGGUGCCGCCGUCCCGGACAUUGUCCUUGAGCAGCGCGGCACCGGAGCCGCGCCGGGUCGCCGCCCUCCCUUCGCAUCCGCGCGUCCCUCGGCACAAGCGACUUGGAUCAUGAAUAUAAGUGAAGACUUUGACGUCAGAGUUGAGAUUUAUCAGCAGAUCCAAUGGGGCAGGAAUAUUAAGUGCAAGUCGAUGCCAGCUCUCUGCCAACGCUAUUAGCGAUGCUCGCCGAGGAAUGAGGCUUCGCACCAAGGGCUGGAAGGACCGGCAAGGAAAAAAAUAAAAACGGGGUGGGGGGAGCAAGCUGAUCCUCGAGCAUUAAAACCAGGUAAAACAACAA